AACGAACGUUGGCGGCGUGGAUGAGGCAUGCAAGUCGAACGCGAAAGCCGCAAGGCGAGUAAAGUGGCGGACGGGCGAGUAACACGUAAUCAAGCUACCUGUGAGACGGGGAUAACUUCGGGAAACCGAAGCUAAGACCCGAUGGCCUUAGGAGACCGCAUGGUUUCCUAAGUAAAUGGGCGGGACCUUUCGGGGUCGCCUGCUCGCAGAGGUGAUUGCGGCCCAUCAGCUAGUUGGUAGGGUAAUGGCCUACCAAGGCAACGACGGGUAGCCGGCCUUAGAGGGUGGUCGGCCGCACUGGGACUGAGACACUGCCCAGACUCCUACGGGAGGCUGCAGUCGAGAAUCUUCCGCAAUGGGCGAAAGCCUGACGGAGCGACGCCGCGUGGAGGAUGAAGGCCUC
Molecule: ribosomal RNA, 403 nt
Filed under: uncultured bacterium
Lineage: Bacteria
Description: bacterial SSU rRNA
Rfam family: Bacterial small subunit ribosomal RNA
Source: RNAcentral